RNAcentral lists this ribosomal RNA (274 nucleotides) under uncultured bacterium. Its description in RNAcentral is "partial 16S ribosomal RNA". It matches the Rfam family "Bacterial small subunit ribosomal RNA", at positions 523 to 796 of the family's 1533-position model. The record is from RNAcentral.
AUACCGAGGGUGCGAGCGUUAAUCGGAAUUACUGGGCGUAAAGCGCACGUAGGUGGAUAUAUAAGUCGGAUGUGAAAAGCCUGGGCUCAACCUGGGUCUGUCAUUCGAGACUGUAUAACUAGAGUAUAGUAGAGGGAAGUGGAAUUUCCGGUGUAGCGGUGAAAUGCGUAGAUAUCGGAAGGAACACCAGUGGCGAAGGCGGCUUCCUGGACUAAUACUGACACUGAGGAGCGAAAGCGUGGGGAGCAAACAGGAUUAGAUACCCGUGUAGUCC